Molecule: transfer RNA, 64 nt
Filed under: Anabasis oropediorum
Lineage: Eukaryota; Viridiplantae; Streptophyta; Magnoliopsida; Caryophyllales; Amaranthaceae
Description: partial tRNA-Gln
Source: RNAcentral
AUAUGUUCUGGGACGGAAGGAUUCGAACCUCCGAAUAGCGGGACCAAAAACCCGAUGCCUUACC